GGUUAAGCGACUAAGCGUACACGGUGGAUGCCCUGGCAGUCAGAGGCGAUGAAGGACGUGCUAAUCUGCGAAAAGCGUCGGUAAGGUGAUAUGAACCGUUAUAACCGGCGAUGUCCGAAUGGGGAAACCCAGUGCAAUUCGUUGCACUAUCGUUAACUGAAUACAUAGGUUAACGAGGCGAACCGGGGGAACUGAAACAUCUAAGUACCCCGAGGAAAAGAAAUCAACCGAGAUUCCCCCAGUAGCGGCGAGCGAACGGGGAGCAGCCCAGAGUCUGAAUCAGCUUGUGUGUUAGUGGAACGGUCUGGAAAGUCCGACGGUACAGGGUGAUAGUCCCGUACACCAAAAUGCACAGGCUGUGAACUCGAAGAGUAGGGCGGGACACGUGGUAUCCUGUCUGAAUAUGGGGGGACCAUCCUCCAAGGCUAAAUACUCCUGACUGACCGAUAGUGAACCAGUACCGUGAGGGAAAGGCGAAAAGAACCCCGGCGAGGGGAGUGAAAAAGAACCUGAAACCGUGUACGUACAAGCAGUGGGAGCACCUUCGGGUGUGACUGCGUACCUUUUGUAUAAUGGGUCAGCGACUUAUAUUCUGUAGCAAGGUUAACCGUAUAGGGGAGCCGCAGGGAAACCGAGUCUUAACUGGGCGUUAAGUUGCAGGGUAUAGACCCGAAACCCGGUGAUCUAGCCAUGGGCAGGUUGAAGGUUGGGUAACACUAACUGGAGGACCGAACCGACUAAUGUUGAAAAAUUAGCGGAUGACUUGUGGCUGGGGGUGAAAGGCCAAUCAAACCGGGAGAUAGCUGGUUCUCCCCGAAAGCUAUUUAGGUAGCGCCUCGUGAAUUCAUCUUCGGGGGUAGAGCACUGUUUCGGCUAGGGGGUCAUCCCGACUUACCAACCCGAUGCAAACUACGAAUACCGAAGAAUGUUAUCACGGGAGACACACGGCGGGUGCUAACGUCCGUCGUGAAGAGGGAAACAACCCAGACCGCCAGCUAAGGUCCCAAAGUCAUGGUUAAGUGGGAAACGAUGUGGGAAGGCACAGACAGCCAGGAUGUUGGCUUAGAAGCAGCCAUCAUUUAAAGAAAGCGUAAUAGCUCACUGGUCGAGUCGGCCUGCGCGGAAGAUGUAACGGGGCUAAACCAUGCACCGAAGCUGCGGCAGCGACACUAUGUGUUGUUGGGUAGGGGAGCGUUCUGUAAGCCUGCGAAGGUGUGCUGUGAGGCAUGCUGGAGGUAUCAGAAGUGCGAAUGCUGACAUAAGUAACGAUAAAGCGGGUGAAAAGCCCGCUCGCCGGAAGACCAAGGGUUCCUGUCCAACGUUAAUCGGGGCAGGGUGAGUCGACCCCUAAGGCGAGGCCGAAAGGCGUAGUCGAUGGGAAACAGGUUAAUAUUCCUGUACUUGGUGUUACUGCGAAGGGGGGACGGAGAAGGCUAUGUUAGCCGGGCGACGGUUGUCCCGGUUUAAGCAUGUAGGCUGGUUGUCCAGGCAAAUCCGGAUAAUCAAGGCUGAGGUGUGAUGACGAGGCACUACGGUGCUGAAGUAACAAAUGCCCUGCUUCCAGGAAAAGCCUCUAAGCAUCAGGUAACAUCAAAUCGUACCCCAAACCGACACAGGUGGUCAGGUAGAGAAUACCAAGGCGCUUGAGAGAACUCGGGUGAAGGAACUAGGCAAAAUGGUGCCGUAACUUCGGGAGAAGGCACGCUGGUGUGUAGGUGAAGCCCCUGCGGGUGGAGCUGAGACCAGUCGAAGAUACCAGCUGGCUGCAACUGUUUAUUAAAAACACAGCACUGUGCAAACACGAAAGUGGACGUAUACGGUGUGACGCCUGCCCGGUGCCGGAAGGUUAAUUGAUGGGGUUAUCCGUAAGGAGAAGCUCUUGAUCGAAGCCCCGGUAAACGGCGGCCGUAACUAUAACGGUCCUAAGGUAGCGAAAUUCCUUGUCGGGUAAGUUCCGACCUGCACGAAUGGCGUAAUGAUGGCCAGGCUGUCUCCACCCGAGACUCAGUGAAAUUGAACUCGCUGUGAAGAUGCAGUGUACCCGCGGCAAGACGGAAAGACCCCGUGAACCUUUACUAUAGCUUGACACUGAACAUUGAGCCUUGAUGUGUAGGAUAGGUGGGAGGCUUUGAAGCGUGGACGCCAGUCUGCGUGGAGCCAACCUUGAAAUACCACCCUUUAAUGUUUGAUGUUCUAACGUUGGCCCCUUACCGGGGUUGCGGACAGUGUCUGGUGGGUAGUUUGACUGGGGCGGUCUCCUCCCAAAGCGUAACGGAGGAGCACGAAGGUUAGCUAAUCCUGGUCGGACAUCAGGAGGUUAGUGCAAUGGCAUAAGCUAGCUUGACUGCGAGCGUGACGGCGCGAGCAGGUGCGAAAGCAGGUCAUAGUGAUCCGGUGGUUCUGAAUGGAAGGGCCAUCGCUCAACGGAUAAAAGGUACUCCGGGGAUAACAGGCUGAUACCGCCCAAGAGUUCAUAUCGACGGCGGUGUUUGGCACCUCGAUGUCGGCUCAUCACAUCCUGGGGCUGAAGUAGGUCCCAAGGGUAUGGCUGUUCGCCAUUUAAAGUGGUACGCGAGCUGGGUUUAGAACGUCGUGAGACAGUUCGGUCCCUAUCUGCCGUGGGCGCUGGAGAAUUGAGGGGGGCUGCUCCUAGUACGAGAGGACCGGAGUGGACGCAUCACUGGUGUUCGGGUUGUCAUGCCAAUGGCACUGCCCGGUAGCUAAAUGCGGAAGAGAUAAGUGCUGAAAGCAUCUAAGCACGAAACUUGCCCCGAGAUGAGUUCUCCCUGAGACUAUAAGUCUCCUGAAGGAACGUUAAAGACGAUGACGUUGAUAGGCCGGGUGUGUAAGCGCAGCGAUGCGUUGAGCUAACCGGUACUAAUGAACCGUGAGGCUUAACCUU
RNAcentral lists this ribosomal RNA (2902 nucleotides) under Klebsiella pneumoniae. RNAcentral describes it as "23S ribosomal RNA". It matches the Rfam family "Bacterial large subunit ribosomal RNA". Lineage: Bacteria; Pseudomonadati; Pseudomonadota; Gammaproteobacteria; Enterobacterales; Enterobacteriaceae. The record is from RNAcentral.